UACGUAGGGGGCAAGCGUUGUCCGGAUUUAUUGGGCGUAAAGCGCACGCAGGCGGUCUCUUACGUUCCCAGUGACAGUGCUUCGCUUAACGAAGCAAGGUCUGGGAAAACGGAGGGACUUGAGGACCAGAGAGGGACAUAGAAUUCCGGGUGGAGUGGUGAAAUGCGUAGAUAUCCGGAGGAAUACCAAAGGCGAAGGCAGUGUCCUGGCUGGUAACUGACGCUGAGGCGCGAAAGCGUGGGGAGCGAACAGG
RNAcentral lists this ribosomal RNA (253 nucleotides) under uncultured bacterium. Its description in RNAcentral is "partial 16S ribosomal RNA". It matches the Rfam family "Bacterial small subunit ribosomal RNA", at positions 524 to 776 of the family's 1533-position model. The record is from RNAcentral.